This 347-nucleotide long non-coding RNA is filed under the name Homo sapiens (human). RNAcentral's name for it is "non-protein coding lnc-ARHGAP12-3:1". The record is from RNAcentral. Lineage: Eukaryota; Metazoa; Chordata; Mammalia; Primates; Hominidae.
AUAAGCAGGCCUAGAAGGAUCUAGGGGUCUGAGAACCAAGGUGUUUCAACUCCAGACCCAUCUGUUUUGACUAUGGCUAAGUAUUUGGGCUAACAACAAUUUCUUUAUGCUCUGGAAUGCCUGGGAAAGUUGGUCCCCAUCUGAAGUUGCUCCUUGAUACGUGUGAUUCUGUCAGUGCCUAGGGAGUGUGUGGGGUACAUUGUUUCCUACGGGGAAAAAAUGACCUGGAGCAGCAAGUUGGGAACUGAAGAGUGUUCCAGGGCUUCUUCCGAGAACUGAGAAUGAGAGGGGAGAUAGAGGAAGAGGGCCUGGGGAUGGAAAGGGGGAGGUGAGAGCCAUGAGCCUGG